Quercus robur (English oak) is the source of this 290-nucleotide long non-coding RNA. RefSeq lists it as uncharacterized. The transcript has 2 exons. Lineage: Eukaryota; Viridiplantae; Streptophyta; Magnoliopsida; Fagales; Fagaceae. The record is from RefSeq and is a predicted model, not a curated record.
GUUGUAUGUGAGUAUCUAACUUGAUGCAUAUAUUCCUACUAAAAUUUUUUUUUCUAAAGAUGGAAGAGCUUAUUGUCUUUCGUUGUGUUAAUUAAACUAUUAUUUCAGACAAGAAAUAAAAGGAAAAGCAAAAGGCAAAAAAAAAAAAAAAAAAAAAAAAGGCAUGUUAGAGUGCACUUACUGUAGCAGUAGUAGCCAGCAAAUAGGUAGAUGCAAUCAAUAAUGGAGGUCAGGAAGAGGAAGAGGAAGAGGAAGAGGGAGGGAGAGAGAAAGAAAGAUAGAUAAAGAAG